UGUGUGUGUGUGUGUGUGUGUGUGUGUGUGUGUGUAUAUACACACACACACAUAUACACACACACG
Non-coding RNA from Podarcis lilfordi (Lilford's wall lizard), 66 nucleotides. Lineage: Eukaryota; Metazoa; Chordata; Lepidosauria; Squamata; Lacertidae. The record is from the annotation of a GenBank genome assembly.